This 497-nucleotide ribosomal RNA is filed under the name uncultured bacterium. RNAcentral's name for it is "partial 16S ribosomal RNA". It matches the Rfam family "Bacterial small subunit ribosomal RNA", at positions 28 to 507 of the family's 1533-position model. The record is from RNAcentral.
GACGAACGCUGGCGGCGUGCCUAAUACAUGCAAGUUGAGCGCUGAAGGAUGGUGCUUUUGCCAACUGGAUGAGCAGCGAACGGGUGAGUAACGCGUGGGUAAUCUGCCUUUGUUCGGGGGACAACAUUUGGAAACGAAUGCUACUACCGCAUAAAAACUUUAACCACAAGAUUUAAGUUUUCAAGAUGCAAUUGCAUCACUCAAAGAUGAUCCCGCGUUGUAUUAGGUAGUUGGGGAGGUAAAGGCUCACCAAGGCGAUGAUACAUAGCCGACCUGAGAGGGUGAUCGGCCACAGUUGGACUGAGACACGGCCCAAACUCCUACGGGGGGCAGCAGUAGGGAAUCUUCGGCAAUGGACGAAAGUCUGAACGAGCAACGCCGCGUGAGUGAAGAAGGUUUUCGGAUCGUAAAACUCUGUUGGUAGAGAAGAACGUUGGUGAGGGUAGAAAGCUCAUCAAGUGACGGUAACUACCCAGAAAGGGACGGCUAACUACGUG